AUUGAUUAUGCAUUGUUAUAAUGAUUAUGCAUGUACUGUGAUGUAUGCAACAUAAGUAUCUUUUGAACUUUAAAGUCCUAAGAGGGUGAAAGAAGAAACUCCGUUGGGGGAUGAGGAUCUUGGAAAAAAGGAGAAAAGGCGACUGCCCCUAGCAACGAUUGGGGAGAAAAAUAAGGCAAUUCCUAGAAACAAAUGCAAUACCUAACUCUGAU
This 212-nucleotide long non-coding RNA is filed under the name Lathyrus oleraceus (garden pea). RNAcentral describes it as "Pisum sativum (pea) long non-coding RNA (PSAT_LNC000412)". Lineage: Eukaryota; Viridiplantae; Streptophyta; Magnoliopsida; Fabales; Fabaceae. The record is from RNAcentral.